This 138-nucleotide ribosomal RNA is filed under the name Ganoderma sp. GanO-07. RNAcentral's name for it is "partial 5.8S ribosomal RNA". It matches the Rfam family "5.8S ribosomal RNA", at positions 28 to 154 of the family's 154-position model. Rfam says of the family: 5.8S ribosomal RNA (5.8S rRNA) is a component of the large subunit of the eukaryotic ribosome. It is transcribed by RNA polymerase I as part of the 45S precursor that also contains 18S and 28S rRNA. The record is from RNAcentral. Lineage: Eukaryota; Fungi; Basidiomycota; Agaricomycetes; Polyporales; Polyporaceae.
UUCUCUGCAUCGAUGAAGAACGCAGCGAAAUGCGAUUUUAAGUAAUGUGAAUUGCAGAAUUCAGUUGAAUCAUCUAAUCUUUGAACGCACCUUGCGCUCCUUGGUAUGCCGAGGAGCAUGCCUGUUUGAGCGUCAUGA